RNAcentral lists this transfer RNA (69 nucleotides) under Bos taurus (domestic cattle). It matches the Rfam family "tRNA". From Rfam's summary of the family: Transfer RNA (tRNA) molecules are approximately 80 nucleotides in length. Their secondary structure includes four short double-helical elements and three loops (D, anti-codon, and T loops). Further hydrogen bonds mediate the characteristic L-shaped molecular structure. tRNAs have two regions of fundamental functional importance: the anti-codon, which is responsible for specific mRNA codon recognition, and the 3' end, to which the tRNAs corresponding amino acid is attached (by aminoacyl-tRNA synthetases). tRNAs cope with the degeneracy of the genetic code in two manners: having more than one tRNA (with a specific anti-codon) for a particular amino acid; and 'wobble' base-pairing, i.e. permitting non-standard base-pairing at the 3rd anti-codon position. RNAcentral also lists the same sequence under 3 other names. The record is from Rfam by way of RNAcentral. Lineage: Eukaryota; Metazoa; Chordata; Mammalia; Artiodactyla; Bovidae.
CCUGGUGGCUCAGAGGGUAAAGCAUCUGCCUGCGAUGCAGGAGACCUGGGUUUGAUCCCUGAGUCAGGA